AGAGUUUGAUCCUGGCUCAGGAUGAACGCUGGCGGCGUGCCUAACACAUGCAAGUCGAGCGAUGAAGUUCUCUUCGGAGAACGGAUUAGCGGCGGACGGGUGAGUAACACGUGGGUAACCUGCCUCAUAGAGGGGAAUAGCCUUCCGAAAGGAAGAUUAAUACCGCAUAAUAUUAUCUAGUGGCAUCACUUGAUAAUCAAAGGAGCAAUCCGCUAUGAGAUGGACCCGCGUCGCAUUAGUUAGUUGGUGGGGUAACGGCCUACCAAGACGACGAUGCGUAGCCGACCUGAGAGGGUGAUCGGCCACAUUGGGACUGAGACACGGCCCAGACUCCUACGGGAGGCAGCAGUGGGGAAUAUUGCACAAUGGAGGAAACUCUGAUGCAGCAACGCCGCGUGAGCGAUGAAGGUCUUCGGAUUGUAAAGCUCUGUCUUUAGGGAUGAUAAUGACAGUACCUAAGGAGGAAGCCACGGCUAACUACGUGCCAGCAGCCGCGGUAAUACGUAGGUGGCGAGCGUUAUCCGGAUUUAUUGGGCGUAAAGGGAGCGUAGGCGGAUACUUAAGUGGGAUGUGAAAUACUUGGGCUCAACCCGAGUAUUGCAUUCCAAACUGAGUAUCUAGAGUGCAGGAGAGGAGAGUGGAAUUCCUAGUGUAGCGGUGAAAUGCGUAGAGAUUAGGAAGAACACCAGUGGCGAAGGCGACUCUCUGGACUGUAACUGACGCUGAGGCUCGAAAGCGUGGGGAGCGAACAGGAAUAGAUACCCUGGUAGUCCACGCCGUAAACGAUGAGUGCUAGGUGUUAGGCCCUUUCCGGGGCUUAGUGCCGCAGCUAACGCAUUAAGCACUCCGCCUGGGGAGUACGACCGCAAGGUUGAAACUCAAAGGAAUUGACGGGGGCCCGCACAAGCGGUGGAGCAUGUGGUUUAAUUCGAAGCAACGCGAAGAACCUUACCAGGUCUUGACAUCCCGAUGCUAUUCCUAGAGAUAGGAAGUUUCUUCGGAACAUCGGUGACAGGUGGUGCAUGGUUGUCGUCAGCUCGUGUCGUGAGAUGUUGGGUUAAGUCCCGCAACGAGCGCAACCCCUAUUGUUAGUUGCCAUCAUUAAGUUGGGCACUCUAGCGAGACUGCCGGUAAUAAACCGGAGGAAGGUGGGGAUGACGUCAAAUCAUCAUGCCCCUUAUGACCUGAGCUACACACGUGCUACAAUGGUUGGUACAACGAGUCGCGAGUCGGUGACGGCAAGCAAAUCUCUUAAAGCCAAUCUCAGUUCGGAUUGUAGGCUGCAACUCGCCUACAUGAAGUCGGAAUCGCUAGUAAUCGCGGAUCAGCACGCCGCGGUGAAUACGUUCCCGGGCCUUGCACACACCGCCCGUCA
RNAcentral lists this ribosomal RNA (1375 nucleotides) under uncultured bacterium. RNAcentral's name for it is "bacterial SSU rRNA". It matches the Rfam family "Bacterial small subunit ribosomal RNA". The record is from RNAcentral.